GAAUAACAUUACCACACGCUCUAACCCCACUCCGAACCCGCCAUGUGGAGGUGCACCAUACCUCUAAACAGAGCAACCAUAGGAUUAUUUUGUUUGUGUAUAGAAAAAUUCUUUUCCCCGUGCCAUACACCCAAAAACAUAGAAGAAAGCUAAAGCACAACAACAGCAUGAAUAAUGGAGAUGUAAUGCAUAGCCCAAGAGCUGAUAUCACUAGAUCAAGAAUUCUUAGCAUUCAUCAGGUACCAAGAUGGUAGGUAAUUCAAAAUCAAACCUCACCAUUAAAACUCACCAUUUCAUGAUACACAUUCUUGUUUCAGAUUCACUCCGUAUUUAAGUCGCUCCAAUUUACUUUAGCCAUUCAAUGUUUCAUAACAAUUUGAUUUCAUCAUUUUUUUCCCCCGUUGUUAACAAACAUUAACCAAACAUAUUGAGUUAACAGCACCAUUAGUGCUUGUCAUGUCAUUUCUGAAAUGGCUUAUAACAGCACCAUCAUAACAUACAAUCAUAAAUCCAAGCAAGCAACUUCUGCUAGAUGUCAUGGAAUUGUUACAAGAUUGCUACCUGGAGGUACAUAUUGGCCUUCUCCACAUUCGAGCUUAUGUAUAUUUUUAUAUUCCUAUCAAGUGGGGGAUUUGCCAGUGCCACAAUGAAGUGUAUUUGGUGAAAAUAAAAUCAACGACAUACAGAAGCAAGUUAGUGCAACAUGAUGCAAAAUGAGUAGGAGCUAGGAACUGGAUGAACUUUAGCAUGCAUGUUAUGCUUUAUGAUCAAUUCAAAAAAGUAUCAAGCAGAUAAGCACCACUGUAAACAUAGUAAUUGUAGAUUACUAGCUUAUACUUCUAAUUCCAUUGAAAUAAUGACAUUAGAAUUACUUGAAGUUUUAGUGAAUUUCUAUUUCAUUGCGUCAAAUUAGAUUUUUGCAUGCCAAAGCAUGGACAAACAAAAACAAAAUUAAUCUAACAAAGUCCAUUUGGUAGUUUAGCCACUGGAAUACUAAUGUGGACAUCAAGCCCCCUUAUUUUCUCUAAAACUUAUGCUGAAAAAUAAUUCCAAUUGGACAUGCAUAAAGAACUAAUGACAAAUCCAUCCAACCAAUAACAGCUGCAAUAGACAUGAAUCUCUAUGCCUGUAAUUUCUCUUCCCAGUUCCCAUAUCAGCAUGUAUUUCAAAGAAAAGAGAGCCCAGACAUCCAUGUCAGCUUUCUGACAAUAUUGAGUGGCUAAAAGCACUUUAUUAGAAAAAUGGUAUUAGUUUAAGGCACUUAAUUGCCAAAGAUUUAAAGCUUAAGCAAUAAAUAAAAAUUAAAGCAUUUCUAUUCUUUUUGUCACUUAUAAAUUUUAAAAUCAUUUUUAUAUCACCUAUAUCUGUGAACAGCCCACUGAACAAUCAAACUUUUCAAAGAUUUAAUAUUGUGGAAACAAACUGAUUGAUAGGCCUAUCAUCUAACAAGAUGACACAAGCAGCACAACAGAUCUGAGGUAAUUGAGGGAAAAAUAUGGAAAAAAAGAGUACCUGAAAGAAUCAAUGUACGUU
Molecule: unclassified non-coding RNA, 1533 nt
Filed under: Hevea brasiliensis (rubber tree)
Lineage: Eukaryota; Viridiplantae; Streptophyta; Magnoliopsida; Malpighiales; Euphorbiaceae
Source: RNAcentral